RNAcentral lists this long non-coding RNA (217 nucleotides) under Lathyrus oleraceus (garden pea). Its description in RNAcentral is "Pisum sativum (pea) long non-coding RNA (PSAT_LNC036448)". Lineage: Eukaryota; Viridiplantae; Streptophyta; Magnoliopsida; Fabales; Fabaceae. The record is from RNAcentral.
AAUAAUAAAUAAAAUAUAAUAGAAAAAACUUGGACUUGGACCUCUCUCAUUUGAGCCCACAAAGCCAUGAAAAUCAGGUUAUAAAAGAGGGAGAUCAGACAGAAAAAGGAAGAGAAGCAAAAAUACUCGGAGGUUUCCUUGAAACAAAACCCUUGACAAAACCUGGAGAGAAACCUGACAGAGAACUCAGAGCAACCCCCAGGCAGCUCUGAAAAAU